CCUACGGGGUGCAGCAGUGGGGAAUAUUGGACAAUGGGCGAAAGCCUGAUCCAGCCAUGCCGCGUGUGUGAAGAAGGCCUUCGGGUUGUAAAGCACUUUCAGUGGGGAAGAAAGCCUUGGGGCUAAUACCCUCGAGGAAGGACAUCACCCACAGAAGAAGCACCGGCUAACUCCGUGCCAGCAGCCGCGGUAAUACGGAGGGUGCGAGCGUUAAUCGGAAUUACUGGGCGUAAAGCGCGCGUAGGCGGUCUGAUAAGCCGGUUGUGAAAGCCCCGGGCUAACCUGGGAACGGCAUCCGGAGUGGGAGGGUGAGAGGGCAGGAGGGGGAGGUAAAAUCCCCGGGGGAGGGGGGAAAUGCGUGGGGCGCGGGAGGAAUACCGGUGGGGAAGGGGGCCUUCGGGCCUGACACUGCCCCGGGGGGGGGAAAGCGUGGGUAGAAACCAGGAUUAGAUACCCCGGAAGUC
This 464-nucleotide ribosomal RNA is filed under the name Vreelandella stevensii. Its description in RNAcentral is "partial 16S ribosomal RNA". It matches the Rfam family "Bacterial small subunit ribosomal RNA", at positions 338 to 795 of the family's 1533-position model. The record is from RNAcentral. Lineage: Bacteria; Pseudomonadati; Pseudomonadota; Gammaproteobacteria; Oceanospirillales; Halomonadaceae.